AUUGAACGCUGGCGGCAGGCCUAACACAUGCGAGUCGAACGGUAACAGGAAGAAGCUUGCUUCUUUGCUGACGAGUGGCGGACGGGUGAGUAAUGUCUGGGAAACUGCCUGAUGGAGGGGGAUAACUACUGGAAACGGUAGCUAAUACCGCAUAACGUCGCAAGACCAAAGAGGGGGACCUUCGGGCCUCUUGCCAUCGGCUGUGCCCAGAUGGGAUUAGCUAGUAGGUGGGGUAACGGCUCACCUAGGCGACGAUCCCUAGCUGGUCUGAGAGGAUGACCAGCCACACUGGAACUGAGACACGGUCCAGACUCCUACGGGAGGCAGCAGUGGGGAAUAUUGCACAAUGGGCGCAAGCCUGAUGCAGCCAUGCCGCGUGUAUGAAGAAGGCCUUCGGGUUGUAAAGUACUUUCAGCGGGGAGGAAGGGAGUAAAGUUAAUACCUUGACGUAUUGACGUUACCCGCAGAAGAAGCACCGGCUAACUCCGUG
Molecule: ribosomal RNA, 490 nt
Filed under: uncultured bacterium
Lineage: Bacteria
Description: partial 16S ribosomal RNA
Rfam family: Bacterial small subunit ribosomal RNA
Source: RNAcentral